This 273-nucleotide ribosomal RNA is filed under the name uncultured bacterium. RNAcentral describes it as "partial 16S ribosomal RNA". It matches the Rfam family "Bacterial small subunit ribosomal RNA", at positions 524 to 796 of the family's 1533-position model. The record is from RNAcentral.
UACGUAGGGGGCAAGCGUUGUCCGGAUUUAUUGGGCGUAAAGGGCGUGUAGGCGGCCUUUUAAGUCUGAAGUGAAACUCCAGGGCUCAACCCUGGAACUGCUUCGGAUACUGGGAGGCUUGAGUACUCUAGAGGGCAGUGGAAUUGCCGGUGUAGCAGUGAAAUGCGUAGAGAUCGGCAGGAACACCAGUGGCGAAGGCGACUGCCUGGGGAGAAACUGACGCUGAGGCGCGAAAGCUGGGGGAGCAAACGGGAUUAGAAACCCCAGUAGUCC